UAACAACGACUCUCGGCAACGGAUAUCUCGGCUCUCGCAUCGAUGAAGAACGUAKCGAAAUGCGAUACUUGGUGUGAAUUGCAGAAUCCCGUGAACCAUCGAGUCUUUGAACGCAAGUUGCGCCCGAAGCCAUCCGGCCAAGGGCACGUCUGCCUGGGCGUCACACACC
RNAcentral lists this ribosomal RNA (169 nucleotides) under Artocarpus gomezianus. RNAcentral's name for it is "5.8S ribosomal RNA". It matches the Rfam family "5.8S ribosomal RNA". From Rfam's summary of the family: 5.8S ribosomal RNA (5.8S rRNA) is a component of the large subunit of the eukaryotic ribosome. It is transcribed by RNA polymerase I as part of the 45S precursor that also contains 18S and 28S rRNA. Functionally, it is thought that 5.8S rRNA may be involved in ribosome translocation. Lineage: Eukaryota; Viridiplantae; Streptophyta; Magnoliopsida; Rosales; Moraceae. The record is from RNAcentral.